This 496-nucleotide ribosomal RNA is filed under the name Staphylococcus aureus. RNAcentral's name for it is "partial 23S ribosomal RNA". It matches the Rfam family "Bacterial large subunit ribosomal RNA", at positions 2429 to 2925 of the family's 2925-position model. Lineage: Bacteria; Bacillati; Bacillota; Bacilli; Caryophanales; Staphylococcaceae. The record is from RNAcentral.
CCGCAUGGAAGGGCCAUCGCUCAACGGAUAAAAGCUACCCCGGGGAUAACAGGCUUAUCUCCCCCAAGAGUUCACAUCGACGGGGAGGUUUGGCACCUCGAUGUCGGCUCAUCGCAUCCUGGGGCUGUAGUCGGUCCCAAGGGUUGGGCUGUUCGCCCAUUAAAGCGGUACGCGAGCUGGGUUCAGAACGUCGUGAGACAGUUCGGUCCCUAUCCGUCGUGGGCGUAGGAAAUUUGAGAGGAGCUGUCCUUAGUACGAGAGGACCGGGAUGGACAUACCUCUGGUGUACCAGUUGUCGUGCCAACGGCAUAGCUGGGUAGCUAUGUGUGGACGGGAUAAGUGCUGAAAGCAUCUAAGCAUGAAGCCCCCCUCAAGAUGAGAUUUCCCAACUUCGGUUAUAAGAUCCCUCAAAGAUGAUGAGGUUAAUAGGUUCGAGGUGGAAGCAUGGUGACAUGUGGAGCUGACGAAUACUAAUCGAUCGAAGACUUAAUCAAAA